UGAGGAAUAUUGGUCAAUGGGCGAGAGCCUGAACCAGCCAAGUAGCGUGAAGGAUGAAGGUCCUACGGAUUGUAAACUUCUUUUAUACGGGAAUAAAGUUUCCUACGUGUAGGAUUUUGUAUGUACCGUAUGAAUAAGCAUCGGCUAACUCCGUGCCAGCAGCCGCGGUAAUACGGAGGAUGCGAGCGUUAUCCGGAUUUAUUGGGUUUAAAGGGAGCGCAGACGGGAGAUUAAGUCAGUUGUGAAAGUUUGCGGCUCAACCGUAAAAUUGCAGUUGAUACUGGUUUCCUUGAGUGCAGUUGAGGCAGGCGGAAUUCGUGGUGUAGCGGUGAAAUGCUUAGAUAUCACGAAGAACCCCGAUUGCGAAGGCAGCUUGCUAAACUGUAACUGACGUUCAUGCUCGAAAGUGUGGGUAUCAAACAGG
Molecule: ribosomal RNA, 424 nt
Filed under: uncultured bacterium
Lineage: Bacteria
Also listed under: 1 other name
Description: bacterial SSU rRNA
Rfam family: Bacterial small subunit ribosomal RNA
Source: RNAcentral